This 497-nucleotide ribosomal RNA is filed under the name uncultured bacterium. Its description in RNAcentral is "partial 16S ribosomal RNA". It matches the Rfam family "Bacterial small subunit ribosomal RNA", at positions 28 to 507 of the family's 1533-position model. The record is from RNAcentral.
GAUGAACGCUGGCGGCGUGCCUAAUACAUGCAAGUCGAGCGAACAGACGAGGAGCUUGCUCCGCUGACGUUAGCGGCGGACGGGUGAGUAACACGUAGAUAACCUACCUAUAAGACUGGGAUCACUUCGGGAAACCGGAGCUAAUACCGGAUAAUAUAUUGAACCGCAUGGAUCAAUAGUGAAAGACGGUUUUGCUGACACUUAUAGAUGGAUCCGCGCCGCAUUAGCUAGUUGGUAAGGUAACGGCUUACCAAGGCAACGAUGCGUAGCCGACCUGAGAGGGUGAUCAGCCACACUGGAACUGAGACACGGUCCAGACUCCUACGGGAGGCAGCAGUAGGGAAUCUUCCGCAAUGGGCGAAAGCUUGACGGAGCAACGCCGCGUGAGUGAUGAAGGUCUUCGGAUCGUAAAACUCUGUUAGUAGGGAAGAACAAAUGUGUAAGUAACUAUGCACGUCUUGACGGUACCUAAUCAGAAAGCCACGGCUAACUACGUG